GGUAAUUUCAUGACUUACCAAUAGGCAACGUAACCACGACGUCGUAUGCACGUAAUGCCAUUACCAUCUCAUUACCAACUGGCAACGUCGGCAGUACGUCCUCCUAACGUAACAGGAUAACCAAGAACGUCCCAGAGAGAAGCGUCAGAAAAAACCCUUUAUUACACAGAAGUUCCUGAUUUUAACAUUUCUGAAGGGAGCUGCUGACAGAGAAAUACACAUCACAGAUUGUUUAUGUUCCUAGAUUCUUCCAUGCUGACGGCCGUGCACAAGAGUUAGAGCGUAUCUCCUGUCGAAGAACAUCUCUAGACAUUAUGAACCAUCUGUCUAAGACUGAAAAUCAUCAAUAAACCAAAAGUUUGGUUUAGCUCCAACCCCAAUUAAGCAGACCUGAGCAGCUGAUCAAGGAUCACCAGAAACUCUGCAGAAGGUUGGUCCUCCAUGCCCAGGACUGGACACCAGUGUUAUGCUGGUGAAAAAACCGCCAGGCUAAAGCAUUCAAAGUGGAAACUUCUGCUGUGGCUCAGUAAUCCAGGAUUGGGAUGGUGGAAGGAGCAGAAGAACCAGAAGAUCAGAGAUCAGGCAGAGAUCUACUGGUGCGCCUGAGGAAACAGAUCUACCUCAUGUCUUAGUUAAACCAAAGAUUCUCAUCACUCACCUCCAUGCCGUUCCGAACCUGUAAGACUUUUGUUCAUCUUUGAAACAUAAAUGUAUAUCUUUUUAAUGAAAUCUGAGAAAUUUCUGCCCCUCCAUUUCACAGUUUAUGCAACUACCACUUUCAUGCCUCAGAAAGGUAGUAAAUACAUCAUUAAAGUAAACCCAUGUGACUCCAGUUGUUUAACCUCAAUUUAUGAAGUGAUAUUAAUGUUUUGUGUGCACAAAAAACUUUGCAUUUUUAUUUACAAAAUAACAUGUUCACAAGAGCACCAUGAUGCAUCACUGUUGGGUUGGCGUGAGAGCUGACCAUCUCAUGGUGCUUUUGUGAAAAUGCUUUGGAGAUUUGUGAAUAAAGACAUACUAUUUUUGUUAUUGCUGUUUUUAUGCGUACACAUGGCAUCUGUUAAAAAUAUCUUCAUUUGUGUUCUGCACAAAAGGGUCUUAUGGGUUUGGAGCGACAUGAGGGUAAGUAAUUAAUGACAUAAUUUACAUUUUUGGGUGAAAUAUGUUCUAAUGUGGCUAUAAUUGGUCAUUGUUAUGUUUUAUAAACAUUUUCAAUAUUUUAAAGAUUUAUUGUUUUGAAAAAUGAUGUUUAUACAGUCUACUUUUGUUGGUAACACUUUACAAUAAGGUGUCAUUUGUUAACAUUAGUUAAUGUAUUAACUAACAUGAACAAACAAUGAACAAUGCAUUUAUUACACUAUUUAUUAAUCUUUGUUAAUGUUAGUUAAUGAAAAUACAGUUGUUCAUUGUUUAUUCAUGUUAGUUCACAGUGCAGUAAUGUUAACAAACACAACUUGUGAUUUUAAUAAUGCAUUAGUAAAUGCUGAAAUUAACAUUAACUAAGAUUAAUAAAUGCUGUAGAAGUAUUGUUCAUUCUUAGUUCAUGUUUACUAAUGUUGUUAACUAAUGAACCUUGUUGUAAAGUGUUACCCUUUUGUUAAUAUCAAUACCUCUGUGAUUAUGGUAUCUUUCCUUAAUUAUCUGAAAUGUCUGCUAGCAAAUAUUAUGCUAGCAUAUCUGUUUAUAAUGAUGCUGAGCACAGAACGUCCUGAAUGCUUUCAUUCAUAUUUCGCUGUAUAUCCUAUGUUUUUAUUAACAAUUUGGGUGCAUUUUACUGUUCGUAUUUGUGUGUUUUUCAAAAUAAAUGAACUGAAUUCAUUUUGAGUCUAUUCAUCAUUCACAGCAGUUGAAAAAGCCUUUAAAUUAGUUUGGGCAUAUGAGGACAUAAAUUAGGUUAAACUACUGCAUGUCCGCCCAUAGAAAAUAAAUAAUUAUAAACAAA
Onychostoma macrolepis is the source of this 1942-nucleotide long non-coding RNA. RefSeq lists it as uncharacterized. The record is from RefSeq and is a predicted model, not a curated record. The transcript is spliced from 6 exons. Lineage: Eukaryota; Metazoa; Chordata; Actinopteri; Cypriniformes; Cyprinidae.